GACGAACGCUGGCGGCGUGCUUAACACAUGCAAGUCGAACGGAAAGGCCCUGCUUUGGUGGGGUGCUCGAGUGGCGAACGGGUGAGUAACACGGGAGUAACCUGCCCUUGACUUUGGGAUAACUUCAGGAAACUGGGGCUAAUACCGGAUAGGAGCUCCUGCUGCAUGGUGGGGGUGGGAAAGUUUCGGCGGUUGGGGAUGGACUCGCGGCUUAUCAGCUUGUUGGUGGGGUAGUGGCUUACCAAGGCUUUGACGGGUAGCCGGCCUGAGAGGGUGACCGGCCACAUUGGGACUGAGAUACGGCCCAGACUCCUACGGGAGGCAGCAGUGGGGAAUAUUGCACAAUGGGCGGAAGCCUGAUGCAGCAACGCCGCGUGCGGGAUGACGGCCUUCGGGUUGUAAACCGCUUUCGCCUGUGACGAAGCGUGAGUGACGGUAAUGGGUAAAGAAGCACCGGCUAACUACGUG
RNAcentral lists this ribosomal RNA (468 nucleotides) under uncultured bacterium. RNAcentral describes it as "partial 16S ribosomal RNA". It matches the Rfam family "Bacterial small subunit ribosomal RNA", at positions 28 to 507 of the family's 1533-position model. The record is from RNAcentral.